AUGGGGGACUUUGAUGGUGAGCAAAAAGAAUUGAUCAAGAAAUUGGUAAACUUUCGCAUGAUCGAUGGUAAAAGAACGAGAGUUCGUGCUAUUGUUUAUAAAACUUUUCACCGCCUAGCUCGAACUGAACGCGAUGUAAUAAAACUUAUGGUUGACAUCGUAGAUAAUAUAAAGCCAAUAUGCGAAGUGGUCAAAGUAGGAGUCGCAUGUACUAUUUAUGAUGUUCCUGGGAUUGUAGCCAGGGAUCGUCAACAAACCUUAGCUAUUCGUUGGAUCCUUGGAGCAGCUUUCAAACAACGUAUAAGCUACAGGAUAAGCUUAGAGAAAUGUUCAUUUGCUGAGAUACUGGAUGCUUACUGA
This 360-nucleotide ribosomal RNA is filed under the name Triticum aestivum (bread wheat). Its description in RNAcentral is "partial small subunit ribosomal RNA". Lineage: Eukaryota; Viridiplantae; Streptophyta; Magnoliopsida; Poales; Poaceae. The record is from RNAcentral.